RNAcentral lists this ribosomal RNA (540 nucleotides) under Triticum aestivum (bread wheat). RNAcentral describes it as "partial small subunit ribosomal RNA". Lineage: Eukaryota; Viridiplantae; Streptophyta; Magnoliopsida; Poales; Poaceae. The record is from RNAcentral.
AUGCGCCGCCACCACGCACCGGCCGGCUCCAUGCCAUACCGCGCCGCGUGCCCUCCACCCCAACCACCUCUGUCGCCUCCACACUGUUCCCGAGCACCGCCCCCUGCCGCCGGGCCCCUCCUCCCGAGCGCCACCGCCCGCCGCCGGGACACUACUCUGGAGCGUUGCCCAGGGUUUGCGCCCCCAUCCCCGACUCUCACCAGGCCCCCGAGCUUCACCGCCCAGGCAACAUCGCUGCCCCCGAUCUCCACCUCUCAGGCAACAUCGCUGCCCCCGAGCGAUGCCCAGGGCCCCUCACCACUGACAGUCGCCGCCCCUGGAUCUCCUCUGCCACCACGCGCAGGUACACCCCCCGCCUCCUCUCCCGACCUUCGCCAGGGCCGCCUCCUCUACCAAUCGCCACCGUGGUCUCACCUCCUCACCGGCGGCCCUCCCCUGCUGUCGUCUCCCUCCUCCCUUCUUAAUUCCUCACCCACCGGUUGGGCUCUGCUGGGAUUUUGGCCGCGGGAUCCGUCCGUCCCUACACCACGUGGGUUUUGA